AGGGAGCUUGCUCCCGGAUGUUAGCGGCGGACGGGUGAGUAACACGUGGGUAACCUGCCUGUAAGACUGGGAUAACUCCGGGAAACCGGAGCUAAUACCGGAUAGUUCCUUGAACCGCAUGGUUCAAGGAUGAAAGACGGUUUCGGCUGUCACUUACAGAUGGACCCGCGGCGCAUUAGCUAGUUGGUGGGGUAAUGGCUCACCAAGGCGACGAUGCGUAGCCGACCUGAGAGGGUGAUCGGCCACACUGGGACUGAGACACGGCCCAGACUCCUACGGGAGGCAGCAGUAGGGAAUCUUCCGCAAUGGACGAAAGUCUGACGGAGCAACGCCGCGUGAGUGAUGAAGGUUUUCGGAUCGUAAAGCUCUGUUGUUAGGGAAGAACAAGUGCGAGAGUAACUGCUCGCACCUUGACGGUACCUAACCAGAAAGCCACGGCUAACUACGUGCCAGCAGCCGCGGUAAUACGUAGGUGGCAAGCGUUGUCCGGAAUUAUUGGGCGUAAAGGGCUCGCAGGCGGUUUCUUAAGUCUGAUGUGAAAGCCCCCGGCUCAACCGGGGAGGGUCAUUGGAAACUGGGAAACUUGAGUGCAGAAGAGGAGAGUGGAAUUCCACGUGUAGCGGUGAAAUGCGUAGAGAUGUGGAGGAACACCAGUGGCGAAGGCGACUCUCUGGUCUGUAACUGACGCUGAGGAGCGAAAGCGUGGGGAGCGAACAGGAUUAGAUACCCUGGUAGUCCACGCCGUAAACGAUGAGUGCUAAGUGUUAGGGGGUU
Molecule: ribosomal RNA, 774 nt
Filed under: Bacillus pumilus
Lineage: Bacteria; Bacillati; Bacillota; Bacilli; Caryophanales; Bacillaceae
Description: bacterial SSU rRNA
Rfam family: Bacterial small subunit ribosomal RNA
Source: RNAcentral